UUCCUACGGGGGGCAGCAGUGGGGAAUAUUGCACAAUGGGGGAAACCCUGAUGCAGCGACGCCGCGUGAGUGAGGAAGUAUUUCGGUAUGUAAAGCUCUAUCAGCAGGGAAGAAAAAAUGACGGUACCUGACUAAGAAGCACCGGCUAAAUACGUGCCAGCAGCCGCGGUAAUACGUAUGGUGCAAGCGUUAUCCGGAUUUACUGGGUGUAAAGGGAGCGCAGGCGGUACGGCAAGUCUGAUGUGAAAGCCCGGGGCUCAACCCCGGGACUGCUUUGGCAACUGCCUGACUGGAGUGCUGGAGAG
RNAcentral lists this ribosomal RNA (305 nucleotides) under uncultured bacterium. Its description in RNAcentral is "bacterial SSU rRNA". It matches the Rfam family "Bacterial small subunit ribosomal RNA", at positions 336 to 656 of the family's 1533-position model. The record is from RNAcentral.